UAGCUAAUAUGUAUAUUUUAAUUGUUGGCCUAUAUGUUUCAUUUUGUUGGCUGGUAUGUUUAUUUUGUUGGCUUACUUAUUGCUUUUGUCUGCUGAAUUCAUCCUUUUGUUGGCUGAUAUGCUUCAUGUGUUGGCUGAUAUGUUCUUUUUGUUGGCUGAUAAGUACCUUUUUGUUGACUAAUAUACUCAUCUUGUUGGCAGAUAUGUAUCUUUUGUUGGUUGAUAUAUUCCUUUUGUUGGCUGAUACGUUUUUAUUAAUGUCUGAUAUGUCCUUAAUGUUGACUAAUAUCAGACAUCAAUUGGCUUAUAUGUUACUUUUAUUGGCUAAUAUACAAAGUAUAUACAAGUACAAACUAUUUUUAUUUCCUUCUCUCUCCUCUUUCCCCCUCAUCCUCUUCCUCUCUUUCUUUCUCUCUCCUGUUAGCAGCUUCUCACGCCACCCUCCUUCUCCUUCGUUCCUCACUUCCCUUCCCUCGACAAAUCAUUCCGGCCACCGACCCUCUCCACGCUGUUUUUGCAGCCGCCAUUCACCGAAACCACCAACCACCACAUCACCAGCCGAACCACCAACCACCGAAUCCCACCAGUCGCAAAUCGCCAACCACGCACCGAACCCACCAACCACCACAUCACCAGCCGCAAAUCACCAACCACCGACGCCGACGCCGCGCCAUUAACACCUCCAAUUGUGGUGGAAGGAUGGAGGUCGUUGCCGCUGUCGCUACCACUCUCAUUGUCGCUACCUUCUCCGCCGUACAAACUAUUGGGUGCGGACUGCCGCACCCAAUAGUUUGUGUAACAAAAAUUUGAUGACAGGUUAACAAAAUUUGAUCAUGAGUUUUGAGUGCCACAAUGGUGUAUACAGAGUCAUAACUCACAAAGUCACAAAGGGUAGUAGAUAAAUCCAUAAUUACUUCAUGUAAAAAUUUACUACGUACUUUGUUAUAAAUAUAAUACAACACAAGGGGAUGAUUAUAUUGGGUUA
Long non-coding RNA from Chenopodium quinoa (quinoa), 985 nucleotides. RefSeq lists it as uncharacterized. The transcript is spliced from 2 exons. The record is from RefSeq and is a predicted model, not a curated record. Lineage: Eukaryota; Viridiplantae; Streptophyta; Magnoliopsida; Caryophyllales; Amaranthaceae.